This 61-nucleotide microRNA precursor is filed under the name Anolis carolinensis (green anole). Its description in RNAcentral is "Aca-Mir-9572_pre stem-loop". Lineage: Eukaryota; Metazoa; Chordata; Lepidosauria; Squamata; Anolidae. The record is from RNAcentral.
UGUGGGUUUUCCAGUCUGUAUGGCCAUGUUCCAGAAGCAUACAGCCUGGAAAACUUGCAGC